AUGAAAUUAGGGUAGCCAAAACCCACGGCUCAUCACAUCCCAUCUCCCGCUUUACGUCUCUCCCAGGCUCAUCUCGUCUCUGUCUCUCAAAAUACUGGGCAUUGCUCCGUGGUAGGUUGUAUAAGAUUUAACUCUUUUAGAAUUUUUUCUUCUCCAUUAUUUUUAUUGCUUCCAUUGUUGCUAUUUUCCAGAAAGUUGUAUUGGGGAUUUCAAUAGAUUGCAUUUGGCUGAAAUUUUUGCGAGUUUUGUGCUGGAGGGAAGAAGACUUAAACUUGGGCAUUGGGCAAACUUAUAUUUAGGUAAAUCAUAAUCCGUUGUAAUUCAUAUUUUCGUUAAUAAUUAGUAUCCUAUUUUGAUUUUAAGUUAGGAUUACUAGGUUAUGUUGUAGUUGUAGUGGAAGAUCAGGUUUUUAUAUUUGAGACUAACCUUCAAUGUUGGAACUUUUAAUUAGUAAAUGGCAAAAUACAACCUUUGAAUCAGUGAGUUUGCAUUUAUAGUGGAUGAUAAGGUUUUUAGGAGAAUUACUUCAUUUUAUUGAAUAUUUCUUGUUUUUGCUAUUUAAUGAUCUGGAAAAAUUUUUAUGUGGGUAAUAAUUGGGGAAAAAGAAGAAUUAGAUCAACCAAAUAUAGGGAGAAGAAACAACAAUGGAAGAAAGAAAUCGGCAAAACCAAAAAUAGAGGAAGAAGAAGGCAAUGAACUUAACUGAUUUUAACUUAAAAAAUGGUGUCGUGACAACUUAUCAAAACGGUGUCAUUUUACUUUGAUUAAUUGUAAUCAACUAUAAAUAUUUUUUACAUUUUAUCAGUUGAAAACAAGCUUCUUACUGGUAGUAAAUAUAACUCCACGUGCGAAGGAGAAGUCAGUUUUUGUAUAAUCUAAUCAUUUCGGUAAAAUUUGUUUAUGCUUUCAACAGAAUUUCUCUCCCCUUUCUUCUUUUUUUUUUUUUUUUUAAUCCCUUCCUCAUUCUAUUUUGUCUUUAGUUUGUAGAAACAUAGCAGCUAACCCAGCUGAUUUCACUUCGUCCUUGAGCUACAAUUGAGAGAGGUUACAGGUGAAGCUUGGGUUUGGCCUUAAGCUGUGACAAAUUUUUAUUAGUUUAGUUCCAGAUUUACUAAGGUUUCUUAUGUUGUUUACUCAUGUAAGUGAAUCAAGUUUUUAUGCUAAUGAUAUAUACAUUUAAAUGAUCCAUUUCUUUGUAAAAUUUGGAAUCAAUUGCUGCUAUUUUUAUGCUGAACUAUUAGGAUUCAAAUAAUUGAGAUUCUUGAUUGGAAAGUGUUAAUUUGAUUUUUUUAGAAAGUUGUUAAAUAUGUAAUCGUCAAUUAAGAAUGUAAUUAUGAUUGAUCAUUGCUUAUUAAUGGAAAUUGUGAAUUGAAAUAGUUGACUUUUAAUUUGAAUUGAAAUUGGUUGUUGCUAAAUUGCUUGUUUACUUGUCUAAAUGAUUAAAUAAAUGAAACUGAUUUCAAUCAUUUAUUUCUAGAAAGGGAGUUAAUUGGAUUCAUUUUGCAGGUUUAAUAUUCGAACCAUGUAAUAAUUCAUGAAAAAUAUGCAAUUAUAAUUCUAUGAAUUGUUGUUGAACAUUAUGGCAUCGGACCGUAGUUGGAUGUUGAAUAGGUCAGAUGAUGGAUUUCUUUCUGAUAGAUUCAUUGGAGGUGUUGAAAAGUUCAUUGAAUUUGCCAUGUCUCGAACAAGAGAUGGAGAUAUGAUCAAAUGUCCAUGUUCUAUAUGUAAAAACACAAGGUUUCUCAUAGGAGAUGAUGUGAAAUUUCAUCUUUACAAAAAUGGAUUUACAAGGGGCUAUACACAGUGGAACGCGCAAGGAAAACCAUUCAGUUUCAAUGGUCCAAAUUUGGUUGAAUCCUCAACUGCACAAGCUACAACCAUUGAGAGCCAUGGAGCAAUGGUGUUAGACGUGAUGGGCACUGAAAUGUACCAUGAUUACAUCAAUCCUAAUAUUUGUGGUCAUGAGGAACAAACCCCAAAUCAACAUGCCGCAAAUUUCUUUACACUAUUGGAAGAAGCUAACAAACCUAUAUGGCCUGUUUGUAGUAGGCACACAAACCUUUCUAUUAUGGCACGACUCUUGAAUCUGAAGUCUGAGUUUAAUAUGCCGACAGCAUGUUAUGAUCGUAUGCUGUCUAUAAUUAAAGAAAUUAUGCCAGAAGAUGAUCGCUUAGAAGCUACGUUCUAUAAAACAAAGAAAAUGUUAUCCAGUCUUGGCCUUGGUAUUAUGAAGAUCCAUACAUGUGUGAAUGAUUGCAUGUUGUACUACAAAGAAAUCGAGAGCAUGACUCAGAGUCCUACGUGUUUUAGUCCACGAUACAAAGAGAAGAUGUCUCAAUCUGGACAUAGGGUACCUCAAAAGGUACUUCGAUAUCUACCUCUAACUUCUAGGCUUCAGUAAUUGUAUAUGUCAAGACAAACUGUAGAGCACAUGUUAUGACAUUCGAAGAAUCAAUUCACUGAUAAUGAAAUGUCACACCCCGUACAUAGUGAGGCAUGUAAGUACUUUGAUAGAACUUUUCCUCAAUUUUUCCUUGAACCACGUAGUGUGCGCGUCAGUUUAUGUAUGGAUGGUUUCAACCCCUUUAGCAUGUCAAAUGUGUAAUACACUUGUUGGCCAGUAAUCAUUGUUGUCUAUAAUCUUUCGCUAUAACAAGACAACUUGUUUUUUAGUAUGGUUAUCCCAAGACUCUUGAAUCCUGGGAAAAACCUCGAUGGUUUUUUUGUGUCCUCUCAUUGAUGAACUAAAAAUGCUUUGGGAUAAAGGUGUUUACACGUAUGAUAUAUGAUAAGUGUAUUUUUGCACACUUAUUUAGGUUACAAACAUGAUUUAAUUACGAGCAAAAUGAUUGAAUUGUGACUUAAUUUCGUUACAUUUGUGAAUUGUAGGGAACACCGAUGAAUAUGGUGAAAUUCAUGAGAAAAGACGCAAAAAAGGACUAAAAUGACACAAAGUGAAAGUUCAAGAACCAAGGUGCAAUUACCCAAAAGUUGACCCGAUGAACAAAUCAAGGAAUUGGUUGAACUAAAUGCCAAUUGAUGAUGCCUUGGGAUGAUGGAAUGGAAAGAGUGAAGAAAAGAGGCCUAGAAGUGAAAGAUUCAAGUAAAUUAAAGAGAAUAGAAAUCGGAGUCUACCAUGUAGCCGCAUGGUAAAACUCUCGUGCGGUCGCACGAAUGAAUGCAGGAAACUUUUAUCAAAACAUGGAAUAACCAUGCAGCCGCACGGAUUAAAACCAUGCGGUUGCAUGGUAGUCUUUCCGAUACGAAAUUUUCUUUCCUUAUAUGAUUAAAACUCCUUUGGUAACCUAAUAUUUACAGGAUAUAAAUAUCAAAAAUGGUCCAAAAAUGACCAGAACGCAUUGGGGGGGGCAGAAAAACACUUCUUGAAGAGGAUUUGGAGCGCAAGAAUGAAAAUUGGCUAUUAGAAUUUCAAGAUUUCUUCAAGUUUUUAUAAUCCGGUGAUGCUUAUUACUCAAAACUUGAUGUAUUUUGUUAUUUUAAUCAUGCUAGGCUAGAUUUUCAUGUGCUAGGAGAUCGAUGAACCAUGUAAUUUGAAUUUUAAUAUCCUAGUUUUGUAAUUUGAUAUUAAGACACAUUUUUAUUGUUUUGAAUGAUUUAUAUACAAUUAAUGUUUCAUCAACUAAGGGCUCGUAAUUGUGUGAAUUUGGGUGAUUUAUUCUUGCAUUCGAG
This 3690-nucleotide long non-coding RNA is filed under the name Olea europaea subsp. europaea. The record is from RNAcentral. Lineage: Eukaryota; Viridiplantae; Streptophyta; Magnoliopsida; Lamiales; Oleaceae.